CACAACUCUUUUAUUGAAAAACAACCACAAGAGGAGAGAGUCAAACAAAAAAAAUCAUCAGUGUGGAUGGGGGAAGGGAAGGUCUCAAGAGGAGGAGGAGGGGUCCUGGGAUGGCUACAGAUUUGUGUAUGUUCAGGGAUCAUACCCAACCUUCUCCUUUGGAGUAUGAUGCAGCGGGUGCUGUACUUCAGCAGAACCAAACUGCAAAUGGAUGGGUGUUGAGUGCAGUGGGUAGUGGGAUUCCACACUGCUGGAUUGUGAGGAGGGAGGAGUGGAAUGCUAUGGGUAGAGAGUGGAGCCAGGAGGUUGAUAACCGUGUGUUGUUGGUGUGUGGGAGAUGCAUGGGAAAGAGUUUUGUGACAGCGGCUGCAGGGGAGGGCAGGCGCGGAGCUGCUUGGUUUGAAGAGCUAGUAUUGCCUCUAGUGAGACUACUUGGCACUCCAUAGCUUCUUUCUGGUGUGCCGCGUUGUCCUUUCAGUCCCUCUUCUCGCUGUCCCGCCACUGUUCAAUUCUUUUUUCUCUGUGGUGGAGUGCAUAAUAACCUCACGCAUAAAGUCCUCCUUAGUUCUUCUUGGACGCUUUCUAAUUCUGCGCAGCCAUUCUGCCGCCGAUAACAAAGAGGGAGGCUGUGCUCCGAAGGUCAUCUCCGUGAAGUUUAAAUGCAACAUUUUACAGAAGCAGUAUUGUUUGCAACACAGACAACACUGAUUCAGUGCUUUAAAACACAGCCAGUACUCACACACCUGUCACUAACUGGCUGACCCCAGGCAAGCACACAUGAGCCACAAGACCCCCAAAAUGGUGAGUAGCUGCAGGGGCAGGGUAAAUCACUGUUCCCGGACCCUGCUGUACACUGGGCACGUGGCUCUUGGUGAGAGCCAGCACUGUAGGGUGGACCUGAUAAUCAUUCCUGUCCCCACACUUUCCACAGGAGGUGAUCAUUAUAGAAGAUAUCUUGCUGCUGAGGGUCAAGGGAGCAGGGAAUCAAGGGAGGGUCUUCUCCAAGCCUGCAGCUUCCGCCCUGGCACCUAUGCAGCUAGCCUGUGGGCAGCAAUUUUCCCCCCACCCGUCAUGGCAAAGAGGCACGGGAAAGUUAUCGUUCAUGGGGCAAGAAAAAAAAGCAGCUCUGCAGAAGAAACUGUAGCAGCAGAUUGCCCAGUAUCUCCACGAGAGUUUCCUGGAGAUCUGAGGGAGAUUCCCAUGAAGUGAGGGAGUGUAUCAACAGCCUGUUCUGCCCUUCAGACUAGGCAUGAGGUGGGAGUCAAGCCUGCUUUCUGCAACUCUCCUACCCCCAAAAACUCGCUUCAGCAAUUCCCAAAAUCAGAUCCACUUACCAGGGGCCUCCUCUCCUGUUUGCGCCUUGCCAAGAUCCGACUGCUGUGAUUGGCUAAGCUCCUCCAGGGUAGAAAAGAGCUCCUGACUGCAUGCAUCUCUGGCCUACAAGUCAUCCUCUGCCUCUGGGACCCCCUCCCCCUCUUCGUCCAAGAUUACCGCCUCCUCCUGGCUCGGUCCACUCUCAAUUGGCACACAAGCCAACGAAGUAUCCACAGGCUCCUUUGCAGUGGAGGUGAGGUCAUCACAGAGUAUUGUGUCCAGCUCUUUGUAGAACUGGUAGCUUGUGGGCGCAGCACCGGAGUGGCGGUUUGCCUCCCUUGCCUUGUGGUAGGCGUUUCACAGCUCCUUCACUUUGACCCUGCACUGCAGUGUGUCCCAGUCAUGGCCCCUUUCUGUCAUGCAUCUAGAAAUCUGUCCAUGGGUAUCAUAAUUCUGAUGGCUGGAGCGCAGCUGCAACUGCACUACCUCCUCUCCCUAAAUGCUGAUGAGGUCCAGCAGCUCAGCAUUGCUCCAAGCAGAGGAUCGCCUGGUGCAUGGAGCAGGCAUGCCCACCUGGAAAGAUGCGCUGAGACCACGGCACGCAUCACUGAGCAAACAGGAAAGGGACUUUCAAAUCUGCAAAGGAAUGUACGGGAUAGGGCUGACGGUUGAUCACCUGAGGGCAUGGCAGCUGAGUUCAAACCAAUGGCCAGAGAGGUGAGAACAGGUAGAGUGGGACACCUCCCCAAGUUCUGGUCGCAGCUCUGUAAUCACCACGGUGUCUACACUGGCAAUGCAGCGCUGUAGCCCGGGCGCAGAAAGCUCUACGUCCCUUGGGGUGGUUUUUUUAGAGCACUGCAUCUGCGUGGUUUCUGCGCACUACGUGGCUUGGCAGUGUGUACACCUCGGGAGUUACAGCACUCAAAGCUGCUUUACUGCGCACAAACUUGCCAGUGGAGAUGGGGCCUUAGAAAAGUUUUCAAGCCCUGCUCUGUGAAGCACUUUCUGAAUAGAGCUCAGAGAAGGUCUGGCAGCUUCUAGUGCUGCUUGUUCCACCUCCUCACUUUAAGAGCUGUCCAACCUCAGUAUUAUCAAGAGGAGCUCAGUUGGAUGCCCGCAAAAGCGGCUGUAACAGGGGCGAGGCUAAGCCAGCUGCCUCCUCCAGUGCUACAGCGGCUUAGAAGCAGGAGGCCCCAGCAGGCUCAUGGCUUUCCCCUGUGAGCACGGGCAGUGAGGAGGGCGGUGCGGGGGAAGCGAAGGGAGGGCACGGGGAAGGGCGGUGGGCCACCAGCGACCCGUUCAGAGGGGGGCUGUAGGGAGGCGGCUUGGGGACUUCUGCCCUGCGAAGCGUAGCACUGUCGGAGCGGGCCGCGGGGGCUAGAGGCCUUGGGCAAGGACCGAGUGACCAGGGCGCAUGAUGACACCUGACAGUGGCCCUCAGCUGGCCCAGGCGGCGGCAGGCCGGAGGGGCAGCGGGCGGGGCGGGGCGGGGCGAGGCGGCAGCCCCAGGUGGGGCGGGCUCUCCUCUAACCUCGCUCUCCCGCUUCCGUUCUCCAAGGAACCUCGGCCAGGAAAGCCUCGCUCAGGGACCGCCGGGCCGGCUGAGAGCGGGGCAAAGCCCCAGGCGCUCCCUGCUCAGAGCCGAGGCGGGCAGAGUGGCUCAGCCAGGCUGGGCUGGGGGUCGGGGCUCUGCAGGAUCGGUUACCCGCGACCAGGCUAGGGGGCGGGCUGUGCGUGCGCUGCGCGCCCCAGCCGCCCGUGCCCACGUGACCCUGGCCCACCUGUUCAAGAUGGCGGCGCCCAGGGCUGCCUGCACGCUGCUGAGCGGAGGGUGUGUGACUCACUGCCGUGGAGUUUUCUCUUCACCGGUCAAUCAUAUCUGCUUACACAAGCAGUCAUGCAGUCAACAAAGAAGAUAUUUCUUUUUCCAGAGACAAAGAAAUACUGCUUAUAGCAUAGUUCGGCCGGCUAUAGUUUCUCUAGCUCACCCAGUUCCUAAGCACAUAAAGAAGCCAGACUAUGUGACGACAGGCAUUGUACCAGACUGGGGAGACUACAUAGAAAUUAAGAAUGAAGAUCAGAUUCAAGGGCUUCAUCAGGCUUGUCAACUGGCCUGUCAUAUUCUACUUCUAGCUGGAAAGAGUUUAAAGGUUGGCAUGACAACCGAAGAAAUAGAUUCCAUUGUUCAUCACGAAAUAAUCAGACAAAAUGCCUAUCCUUCACCUCUAGGCUAUGGAGGUUUUCCCAAAUCUGUUUGUACCUCUGUGAACAAUGUGGUAUGUCAUGGUAUUCCUGACAGUCGACCUCUUCAGGAUGGAGACAUUAUCAACAUUGAUGUCACAGUAUAUUACAAUGGCUACCAUGGUGACACUUCUGAAACAUUUUUGGUGGGCAAUGUGGAUAAAUCUGGUCAAAAGUUAGUGGAGGUUGCCAGGAAAUGUAGAGAUGAAGCAAUUGCAGCUUGCAGACCAGGGGCUCCCUUCUCUGUAAUUGGAAACACAAUCAGGCAAUCUGGCUCUGCUCCCCAGCCCUCAUUCCGCCAUGUUAUCCCAGUAGCCAGACUCAGGACCUUUUUGCCCUCGUGUGACCCAAGGGACGGGAGAACUUACACAGCUCAUCUCCUUGGCAACCAGGGCCUCAGCACCAGGGAUGUACUUCUGGCAGCCUGGCUCACCAGUUAUAUUUUCAGCUACCUCCACUGCCUGACUUCAAGCUGGACUUCACCUCUGGCUCCUUGAUCUGUUGCCCAGUGCUAUGGAACGGUGGCAGACGCAUGCACCGUUGUCUAAUUAACAACUUCUUCUGGAGAAAGCUGGAGAGAGAGUUAGGCUAGUGCAGGCAAAUCCUGGUAGGGCAGGGAGCCAGACGACAAAACUUUGAGUCCCAGGCUGCAGCAAAUGGUGAAUUCCAUGACAAAAAUGCUGAAUUCCAUGGUAUCUUGAUGAAGAAUCCCAAAUUCCACAGCCCCAGCAUCACAGAGCCCUGACUGAGGUGGGCACCUCUCUGAGCAAUGUUUCAAGCUCUCUACUGACUCAGGAAGACAUCACUGGAUCAGUUUACAGUCAGUUCAUAUUUACAAGGUUACCUCUGCACUAUCAGGACUAAAAGCAAUUUUUUUAAAAAUGAAUGAAGGGAUUUUGGAGCACAGUUUGUUAGCAAAACCUUAACUCCAUGAAUGUGGAACUGAGGAAUACACAGGGCCCUGAAGAUCUCCCCUCACAGGUGUUAACGCUUGUAGUCUUUUAAAAUUCUCGGAUGUGAGGUGCUACCAUAUGUAAGUGUAAAUAUUAGAAAGAGGUUGAAAGUGGCUGAGUUUCAUACCUACAGCUUUUUUCUCCACAGAUGUUCUGUACAACAAUGCAGGUUCAUACGAUACAUUACAUUUUAUGUAAAGAACAUCCAUACUCUGCACUGUUUAUGGGUGAAGAGGGAAGGUCAGUUGAGUACUUCAGUGCAGAUGUCAAAUACAUAUGAGCACAAAGAUUCCUAUUUUGAUCAGACUGUAAUAGCAUAAGUAGUGAUGCUAAUAGAGUUGUUUUCAUGCUCUUGAGCAAGGAAGAGGCAGAAUUAAUCAAUGCAGUGCACAAGAACUACUUUUAUUGUAUGAGGAAGAAAAACUGUCUCAACCUUGUCUUUUCAUGAUGAUGACCAUGUUGCUCCUACUUUUGAUGCCUCAAAGCAUCAAAGUCUUAGUGUUGAACAUUAUUCUCUCAGUGGCUAGUUGAAUGGUGCACACUGGAGCUUUCCAUGCCAAGAUGAGGAUAAUUAGUUUUGGUACUUAGAGGACGUAGCUCCUAGAUAGAAGAAGACUAUGUAUUGGUAUGGUAGAAGAGUUUUGAAAAGACAUCCUAUAGCAAAGUUGUAAGUCUAAAAAAAUGACCCUGGGGUCUAUCAACCUCUUUGAAUGGUAUCAGAGGGGGACAGGCAAAACUGAAUAGUGAAUGGGUUUGCUCUUGCACUGGCCAACAUACUUUAAGAAAAAUAGAGGUGGAACAAAAGCUUGCCAAAUGUUGCAUAAAUGGUCUUCCACUCCUCUCCUCCCCUAGGGUAAUUGUUUAAGAAUAUUUCAUCGUUACAUGAAGUAUUGCUUGUGUUGCACUAAUUCUGGUUUUCUACAAGUCACAUCGUUUCACAUUUUGUUCUUUAUAUGUUAGUGAAUAAACUGUAAUUUUCUAAUUCCUCUCCACAUCCAUUGCUUCCUCCUUGACCUUUACUAUCAUCAUAUCCAAGCUGCAUCCUAUAUGGCUUUUCCAUCUCUAACUUACAUUAUUUUUUUAAUGUUAUUUAAAUUGUGUACUUCAUGGGAUAAAAAUCCCAGCAGAACGGAGCCCAAGAUCUUGUACCAUUACUAGCCGUUUAUGCCAAUAAUUAGGAGAGUCUUAAAGAAGUUGGGGAUAUCUUAAAUUGAGGACCUUGUUUCCCUUCAAAGUCAAAUGAAGUACUAUCAGACAUGCUUGUUAGCUUGGAAGGCAGGUACUAGAUAACAUAUGGAACCUUUUCAAGCAUCCAUUUUAGAUCUGAGCUUUGUAACAUUAUUAACUACCACUGACCUGAUUCUCCACCCUGUUAACACUUGUUUUACAGCAGCAUUACACCAUUGACUUCAGUUGUAGCAACGGUAAAUUCUUGGCCUGUGAUGCACAAAGGUGUGAAUAUCCCGGCUUCUGUAGGAAAUCAUUUAGCAGUGUGUUUAAGUACUUACCUUUCAUAUUGACAGAAACAACCAGGUCCACUGGAUUUGAAACCAACAAAUUCUGCUUUUCUGUGUUUUAGGUGACAUUUUUUAAGUGUAAAACUAAUCCUUUGUUCUUUACAGUACUCCUGUGUGGUUUUAGAAAUUGGAUGGAAGUGAUAUGGAUGAGCACAGCUGCCAUCAUGGCCGAUCUCAAAUUAAUAAGAUAAAGACUUAUUUGUAGGUCUAAGAUAAUGCUGAUACACAUCGUAGUAAUUUGACUUUCCCAGUAACUCAGGCUGGUGAUUGUAAAGGCUCCGCUUGUGGUUCUGAAUCUAAUCUUUAAAGCUUUGAAAGCACAGCUAGCUAACAAGACCCUCUCUCUCUCUCUCUCUGCAAAUAGCUGUGAACGGAUGGAAAUCUAUAGCCCUACGCUGAAACUUUUGGGGACUGGGGUAGGACAUUCUUGAGGAAGGGCCCUUAGCUAUAGAACCGUAUACCUCCCGAGAACAGGUUCAUCCCAAAUUUCUCAUAUUUUGGAUGCAAUGUAAAACUUCACACAGGCCUUCCCUAAACAGAUCAUGGUGAUUGCAGAAUAGCCUAGCAGUUUCUGUUCUGAAAGACAACCACCGGGAACAAGCCUAUAUUAGAAAGGCAUAGAGAGGAGCUGAGUGAUCUGGCCCUGUUUCAGCUCUUACUGAUGUUCUGGUGCCCAGAUAUUGUGAUUAUGGACAUGUUAGAAACAGGUGGACUGUUUAAUUAGCAUUACAUGGAUUUGCUAGACUUGUAACUUUUUUAAAGGGCCCCAGACUGGUAGACCCCAAAUAUGACCUGCUCUUUUUCUUUUAUCUCUGCAAAAAUCUGUGUUUGCAAAAAUAUUUGUAAAUCUGUGUGUGUAGAGUCCAAACAAAUGCCUCAGUGUCCAUUUCCCAGAUCUGCUGCAGGGUUCAGACUGCUAGGUGCUGGUAUACAGGAGUCUCCUUUAUUGGGUAGCCCUGCCUCAAUUUCUGUAUUAAGUUUUAUUUACAACAAAUAAGAUUCUAGCACACUUGUUUGCCAAGACAACCCUCUGGAAUAUAAACUGAUCUAGCGCUCAGAGUCCACAGAGAAGGUCGGAACCAAUAGCUCUGAGCUUCCAGAUUCCAGUGUAUUGGUAUAAAAAAGCUGAAGCCGAACCAUGACAAUUACACUGGCGACCUGGUUCCCUGUUCCACUGCUGAUAAUUCCGGAGACGCCCGGCUACUUUUCGAUUGUGGGUGGAGUUAUGAAUUGUGGGCGGGGCUUGAGUGCACCUGGUCUCUGCCCCCCAUAUAAAGAAUGCCGGGAGGCGCCUCCGCUAACGGUGUGAAUGUGUCAUUGUGUUACACUCCGAAGCGAUUAUCACCAGCCACACUGCGUUACAAAUGUUUAUUGCCUGGAAUUAUCCCAGUGUCACUGGUACGGUUUGGGGCUAAUACGUUUCCGCAUAGCACAUCAGAAUGAUUUCCGAGUCUGCCCCUACUUUGUUGGGCAUGGAAUAGGAUCUUACUUCCAUGGACACCCUGAAGUUUGGCAUCAUGACAAUGACGGUGAUUUGUUAAUGGAAGAGGGAAUGGCGUUUACAA
Chelonia mydas (Green sea turtle) is the source of this 7590-nucleotide RNA transcript. It is a transcript of the gene named methionyl aminopeptidase type 1D, mitochondrial, with no coding region annotated. The record is from RefSeq and is a predicted model, not a curated record. The transcript has 9 exons. Lineage: Eukaryota; Metazoa; Chordata; Testudines; Cheloniidae.